GGUUAAGCGACUAAGCGUACACGGUGGAUGCCCUGGCAGUCAGAGGCGAUGAAGGACGUGCUAAUCUGCGAAAAGCGUCGGUAAGGUGAUAUGAACCGUUAUAACCGGCGAUGUCCGAAUGGGGAAACCCAGUGCAAUUCGUUGCACUAUCGUUAACUGAAUACAUAGGUUAACGAGGCGAACCGGGGGAACUGAAACAUCUAAGUACCCCGAGGAAAAGAAAUCAACCGAGAUUCCCCCAGUAGCGGCGAGCGAACGGGGAGCAGCCCAGAGUCUGAAUCAGCUUGUGUGUUAGUGGAACGGUCUGGAAAGUCCGACGGUACAGGGUGAUAGUCCCGUACACCAAAAUGCACAGGCUGUGAACUCGAAGAGUAGGGCGGGACACGUGGUAUCCUGUCUGAAUAUGGGGGGACCAUCCUCCAAGGCUAAAUACUCCUGACUGACCGAUAGUGAACCAGUACCGUGAGGGAAAGGCGAAAAGAACCCCGGCGAGGGGAGUGAAAAAGAACCUGAAACCGUGUACGUACAAGCAGUGGGAGCACCUUCGGGUGUGACUGCGUACCUUUUGUAUAAUGGGUCAGCGACUUAUAUUCUGUAGCAAGGUUAACCGUAUAGGGGAGCCGCAGGGAAACCGAGUCUUAACUGGGCGUUAAGUUGCAGGGUAUAGACCCGAAACCCGGUGAUCUAGCCAUGGGCAGGUUGAAGGUUGGGUAACACUAACUGGAGGACCGAACCGACUAAUGUUGAAAAAUUAGCGGAUGACUUGUGGCUGGGGGUGAAAGGCCAAUCAAACCGGGAGAUAGCUGGUUCUCCCCGAAAGCUAUUUAGGUAGCGCCUCGUGAACUCAUCUUCGGGGGUAGAGCACUGUUUCGGCUAGGGGGUCAUCCCGACUUACCAACCCGAUGCAAACUACGAAUACCGAAGAAUGUUAUCACGGGAGACACACGGCGGGUGCUAACGUCCGUCGUGAAGAGGGAAACAACCCAGACCGCCAGCUAAGGUCCCAAAGUCAUGGUUAAGUGGGAAACGAUGUGGGAAGGCACAGACAGCCAGGAUGUUGGCUUAGAAGCAGCCAUCAUUUAAAGAAAGCGUAAUAGCUCACUGGUCGAGUCGGCCUGCGCGGAAGAUGUAACGGGGCUAAACCAUGCACCGAAGCUGCGGCAGCGACACUAUGUGUUGUUGGGUAGGGGAGCGUUCUGUAAGCCUGCGAAGGUGUGCUGUGAGGCAUGCUGGAGGUAUCAGAAGUGCGAAUGCUGACAUAAGUAACGAUAAAGCGGGUGAAAAGCCCGCUCGCCGGAAGACCAAGGGUUCCUGUCCAACGUUAAUCGGGGCAGGGUGAGUCGACCCCUAAGGCGAGGCCGAAAGGCGUAGUCGAUGGGAAACAGGUUAAUAUUCCUGUACUUGGUGUUACUGCGAAGGGGGGACGGAGAAGGCUAUGUUAGCCGGGCGACGGUUGUCCCGGUUUAAGCAUGUAGGCUGGUUAUCCAGGCAAAUCCGGAUAAUCAAGGCUGAGGUGUGAUGACGAGGCACUACGGUGCUGAAGUAACAAAUGCCCUGCUUCCAGGAAAAGCCUCUAAGCAUCAGGUAACAUCAAAUCGUACCCCAAACCGACACAGGUGGUCAGGUAGAGAAUACCAAGGCGCUUGAGAGAACUCGGGUGAAGGAACUAGGCAAAAUGGUGCCGUAACUUCGGGAGAAGGCACGCUGGUGUGUAGGUGAAGUCCCUGCGGAUGGAGCUGAGACCAGUCGAAGAUACCAGCUGGCUGCAACUGUUUAUUAAAAACACAGCACUGUGCAAACACGAAAGUGGACGUAUACGGUGUGACGCCUGCCCGGUGCCGGAAGGUUAAUUGAUGGGGUUAUCCGUAAGGAGAAGCUCUUGAUCGAAGCCCCGGUAAACGGCGGCCGUAACUAUAACGGUCCUAAGGUAGCGAAAUUCCUUGUCGGGUAAGUUCCGACCUGCACGAAUGGCGUAAUGAUGGCCAGGCUGUCUCCACCCGAGACUCAGUGAAAUUGAACUCGCUGUGAAGAUGCAGUGUACCCGCGGCAAGACGGAAAGACCCCGUGAACCUUUACUAUAGCUUGACACUGAACAUUGAGCCUUGAUGUGUAGGAUAGGUGGGAGGCUUUGAAGCGUGGACGCCAGUCUGCGUGGAGCCAACCUUGAAAUACCACCCUUUAAUGUUUGAUGUUCUAACGUUGGCCCCUGACCGGGGUUGCGGACAGUGUCUGGUGGGUAGUUUGACUGGGGCGGUCUCCUCCCAAAGCGUAACGGAGGAGCACGAAGGUUAGCUAAUCCUGGUCGGACAUCAGGAGGUUAGUGCAAUGGCAUAAGCUAGCUUGACUGCGAGCGUGACGGCGCGAGCAGGUGCGAAAGCAGGUCAUAGUGAUCCGGUGGUUCUGAAUGGAAGGGCCAUCGCUCAACGGAUAAAAGGUACUCCGGGGAUAACAGGCUGAUACCGCCCAAGAGUUCAUAUCGACGGCGGUGUUUGGCACCUCGAUGUCGGCUCAUCACAUCCUGGGGCUGAAGUAGGUCCCAAGGGUAUGGCUGUUCGCCAUUUAAAGUGGUACGCGAGCUGGGUUUAGAACGUCGUGAGACAGUUCGGUCCCUAUCUGCCGUGGGCGCUGGAGAAUUGAGGGGGCUGCUCCUAGUACGAGAGGACCGGAGUGGACGCAUCACUGGUGUUCGGGUUGUCAUGCCAAUGGCACUGCCCGGUAGCUAAAUGCGGAAGAGAUAAGUGCUGAAAGCAUCUAAGCACGAAACUUGCCCCGAGAUGAGUUCUCCCUGAGACUUUAAGUCUCCUGAAGGAACGUUAAAGACGAUGACGUUGAUAGGCCGGGUGUGUAAGCGCAGCGAUGCGUUGAGCUAACCGGUACUAAUGAACCGUGAGGCUUAACCUU
Molecule: ribosomal RNA, 2901 nt
Filed under: Klebsiella pneumoniae
Lineage: Bacteria; Pseudomonadati; Pseudomonadota; Gammaproteobacteria; Enterobacterales; Enterobacteriaceae
Description: 23S ribosomal RNA
Rfam family: Bacterial large subunit ribosomal RNA
Source: RNAcentral